GCUAAAUGACAGCAGUAAGACAGCUGCCUCCCCGGAUGCCCUGGGGAUAAAACGGUCAGACUUCCUUACCCUGGAUCUCUCUGAACGGCUCAGGGCGGGAGGAACGUUCAGCACCACUCGCUAAGGCUCACAUCUCUCCAGGCGUCACCCAAACCCACCGCCACAGUUACCAAAUUCCCGGAUUCCUGGGCCUCGGUCCAGACCUACAGAAUCAGCAUCUCUGGGGGUGCAGCCCAGGAAUCUGCAUUCUCCAAAGCACCCAGCCUAGUCAGGUCUGGAGAAAGCUGGAGCCCCCAAGCAGCCAGGCAGAAGGAGAGCAGGUGCGAGGAGCAGGCGGGACGGGAGGACACAGACAGGACAACAGAGGAGAAAGGAGACCAGGUGAGGUGGGACGUGGGGCCUGGGGAUGGCUCCCGCCGGGGAUCGGCUCCAGCAGCGUCCCACCCCAACGCGCAGGCAGCGGGGGCUGGGAGUCCUGGCUGCUGGGGGGCCAGGGGCAGGGGACCAGCCGGCCCCGCUCAGAGAAGGGGAACAGUGCCUAGAGGACAAGGACUGUGUCUCAGGCAUCCCCCCAUGUGCCAGGGGCCAGCGAGGGGCUGGUGACACAGGAGGUCCUUG
Herpailurus yagouaroundi (jaguarundi) is the source of this 618-nucleotide long non-coding RNA. RefSeq lists it as uncharacterized. NCBI's taxonomy places the organism in Eukaryota, Metazoa, Chordata, Mammalia, Carnivora, Felidae. The record is from RefSeq and is a predicted model, not a curated record. The transcript has 3 exons.